RNAcentral lists this ribosomal RNA (435 nucleotides) under Triticum aestivum (bread wheat). Its description in RNAcentral is "partial small subunit ribosomal RNA". The record is from RNAcentral. Lineage: Eukaryota; Viridiplantae; Streptophyta; Magnoliopsida; Poales; Poaceae.
AUGUCAGUUUCAGAUACGAACCUUCAAAAUGGAGAAAAGCCCAUCUCCGAAAUUACCGAUGCGGAACUCGGCGAAAAGCAUGGUCAUAUGAAGUUAGUAUGCUCACAGACAAGGUUCGGAAAAACCAUGAAACUGUUGUCACCAGACCACAAAAAGUACAUCAUAUCAGAAACCAGUCUUGGCGGUCUAACCCAGAUGCAUGAAGUGACUCUACGGCGCAUAAUGUUGGUUAGACUAGCCAAGAGCAUAGAUAUGGACACCCAAUCCAUUACCAUCGGAAAAACGCCAAUUCCUAUAACAAAAGAGGACGUGCAGUGUAUAUUCGGCAUUCCGAUAGAAGGGGAGGAUAUAGAGCCACAUCUGGAAAUGCAAACUGACACAGAAUUGUUUACCGCCUAUGCAAACAAUGGGCAAAUUUUGAUUUCUGACCUCUAA